Non-coding RNA from Aspergillus awamori, 72 nucleotides. The record is from the annotation of a GenBank genome assembly. NCBI's taxonomy places the organism in Eukaryota, Fungi, Ascomycota, Eurotiomycetes, Eurotiales, Aspergillaceae.
GGCCGGGUGGCGCAAUGGUAGCGCGCUGCCUUCCGGUGGCAGUGGUUGCGUGUUCGAGUCACGUCUCGGUCG